AACGAACGCUGGCGGCAUGCCUAACACAUGCAAGUCGAACGAGACCUUCGGGUCUAGUGGCGCACGGGUGCGUAACGCGUGGGAACCUGCCCUUGGGUUCGGAAUAACUCCCCGAAAGGGGUGCUAAUACCGGAUAAUGUCUUCGGACCAAAGAUUUAUCGCCUUGGGAUGGGCCCGCGUUGGAUUCGCUAGUUGGUAGGGUAAAAGCCUACCAAGGCGACGAUCCAUAGCUGGUCUGAGAGGAUGAUCAGCCACACUGGGACUGAGACACGGCCCAGACUCCUACGGGAGGCAGCAGUGGGGAAUAUUGGACAAUGGGCGAAAGCCUGAUCAAGCAAUGCCGCGUGAGUGAUGAAGGCCGUAGGGUUGUAAAGCUCUUUUACCCGGGAUGAUAAUGACAGUACCGGGAGAAUAAGCACCGGCUAACUCCGUG
This 433-nucleotide ribosomal RNA is filed under the name uncultured bacterium. Its description in RNAcentral is "partial 16S ribosomal RNA". It matches the Rfam family "Bacterial small subunit ribosomal RNA", at positions 29 to 507 of the family's 1533-position model. The record is from RNAcentral.